GUUCAAGGUUCUCCUGUACACAAAAAGAAAACAGUGUGAAACAUAAUUGCAUUUGAGCUUGUUGUUGUUUAGUCGUGUCUGACUCUUCGUGACCCCAUGGACCAGAGCACGCCAGGCACUCCUGCCUUCCCUGCCUGGACCCAAGAUGCUUUUCAGUGGUAGGUGGUAGUGCCAGUUUAGAACAGGAACCAAGCUCAGGUGGUCCUAUCAACAUGGACCAAACACCAUUUUAAAUUACCUAAAAUUCAAUGCCCUGAUUCCUAGAUCUAUUAAAUUCAUUGAUUCCAUAGAGCUAUAGUCCAGGUAGGGCUACAUCUAGACAUUUCAUAGGCCAGGGUAUUGCAUUUUGGGUGAAUUAAGAUGUUGUUUGCUACCACAGAUGAGAGCUGAACUUAGCUCCCAUUGAAAGUUCUGUCUCCCAUCUACCACUGAAGCAUGUCUAGGAGGCUGGUGGAGGUUGAAGGAUGUGGCAUCAGAGAAAGCUUGUGAUGGCCAAGGUGUUGACUUUUUGCAGUAUGGUAGCGCUGCAGAGAGCUUGCUGGGGAGACCAUGCAUUAAAAAGGGACUCAAAAAUAACUUAAACAAGGUUUUAAUAAGAAAAACAAAAACUCCUUUUACACUAAAUACAUUAACAAACAAACAUGACCCAACCACCAACCCCUCCCCCAGGGUAAUGGGAGAGCUAGGUGCUGCUCCUUAUAUACUACACCCAAUUGCCAACACAGCUUAAUCAGUAGAACUCGGCAGCACCUGCUAUGUUUCACAGCUGUAACGCUGGGUCUCGUUAUCUUGCUCUGGCCCUUGCUUUGGCCCCUUAAAGACAUACACAUCGGGUGGAACAAUGAUGAACCUUUACAUAUUAAACCAUUCAACAUUUCCCCUGCGGUUCAUCAUUGUGGAACAAAAACAUAAAGCAUACUUUGUACAUGUUUUUCAUGUAUACCUUUUGGAAGUGCUUUAGUAAAAAUGUCUGCAAUUUGAUUGUCACCUGGAACAUAUUUAAAUACAACCAUUUCAUCAGCAAUUAGUUUCUUUACAAACUGUAAACGUAAUCUUAAGACUUUAGUGCGCUGCGUAUUGGUUUCUGAACAUAGGAUAGCGAGUCCACUCUGGGAAUCAAGGUAAACUUUUACUGGUAGUGUUACUUGCAUCUGUAGGUCUGCGAAUACUUGCAGAUACCAUUCCACAUCACGAGUGGCCUGAACACAUGCACAUAAUUCACUCUCUGUUGUGGAGAGACAAAUAAUGGUUUGUGUCUGGGACUUCCAUUCAAAUGGACAACCAUUAUAACAAAACACCAUACCAGACACACCCCUGCAAUUAUUUUGUUCCACUGCAUGAGAUGCAUCACAGAAAAUUUCAAAACCUUUGUCAAUACAGUGGUGCCUCGCAAGACGAAAUUAAUUCGUUCCGCAAGUCUCUUCGUCUUGCGAGUUUUUCGUCUUGCGAUGCACGGUUUCCCAUAGGAAUGCAUUGAAAAUCAAUUAAUGCGUUCCUAGGGAAACCGCCUUCAGACCAGGUCCGGGGACAGUCUGUCCCCGGACCUCUUCUGAAGGCUGGGGGGGGCAAGGGCUUUUCUUCCCACCCCCAGCAUUGUAAAAACCCGGGACAGCGGAGGACUUCUCCGCUGUCCGGGCGAGCUUAAAAUGCUGGCGGGCGGCAUUUUAAAAUCACCCGGGACAGCGGAGGACUUCUCCGCUGUCCGGGGCAAUUUAAAGCCCCUGGGAAGGCAGGCAGGGGGACAAAGACUUUUGCCCCCGCCAGCCUUCAGAAGAGGUCCUGGACCUCUUCUGAAGGCGGGCGGGGCGAAGUCUUGCUCCCCCGCCUUCAAAAGCCCUCCGGGACAGGCAGGCAGGGGAGCAAAGACUUUCGCCCCCGCCCGCCUUCAGAAGGUCUUCCCUCCCCCGCCCGGCUCGGAGCACCGUUCCGAAGCCGGGCGGCGGCGGAGGUCUUCCCUCCCCCGCCCGGCCGGAGCACCGUUCCGAAGCCGGGCGGCGGCGGAGGUGUUCCCUCCCCCGCCCGGCCCGGGCACCGUUCCGAGGCCGGGCGGCGGCGGCAGGUGUUCCCUCCCCCGCCCGGCCCGGGCACCGUUCCGAAGCCGGGCGGCGGCGGCAGGUGUUCCCUCCCCCGCCCGGCUCGGAGGAGCCUUCCGAAGCCCGGCGGCGGCGGGAGGAGGUGUCCCCGCCCCGCCGCCAGGCUUCGGAGGAGGUCCGAGGACAGUGGGGAAGACGCGCUGCGCUUCCCCGCUGUCCCUGAGAUUUCCCUAUGGGCUGUCGUCUUGCGAAGCAAGCCCAUAGGAAAUUCGUUUCUGCGACGCCUCCAAAACGGAAAACCCUUUCGUCUAGCGGGUUUUCCGUUUUGGAGGCGCUUCGUCUUGCGGGGUACCACUGUACAUGUUGUAAACUGCAACCUAUAAUGUUUGGUAUGUUUAAGGUACAUUACCACUCUCUUAAGAGCAGAGAAACAUUGUGUAGUGGGCUUUUCCACAAAUUUUGCCAGAAGGUGAAAGGCAUAAGUUAGAUCUGGUCUUGAGAUUCUUUGAAUGAAAUUUAGCUUGCCUAUAGCAGAACGAUACAAAGUUUUGUUAGGAAAUGGCUUAUCUUCACCUGUAAAAGUGAAACCACACACCAUGGGCGUUUCCUUCCCAUUUGCAUUUUCUAAACAUAGCAUUUCAACAAGAUCGUCAAUUUUUGCAGUUUGAUGAACCAGAAAAGAUCCAUUUUUGCCUUUCUCAAUUUGCAUGGAUAAGUAAUUUUUAGCUAUGCCUAAUUCCACCACAUCAAAUUUCUUCUGUAACUGUGUUACUACCUGUUCAUAUUCCUGUUUAGUUUUUGUAGAAAUUAACACGUCAUCUACAUAGACACAUAUUUUUGCUACAGAGUUUGCCCUUUCCUUUAUAAACACACAAUUGUCUGCCUUUCCCUGUGAAAAACCAAUAUCCAGCAAUUCUUUUGCUAAAGUUUGAUGCCAAUUCCUUCCACUUUGGUGCAGACCAUAAAGGGAUUUAUUUAAUUUGCAUACCAAACCUUCAGCGGCGUCUAUGCCUUCAGGGACACGCAUAAAAAUUUGUUCUUUUAAAUCUGCAAACAAAUAUGCAGUUUUUAUAUCUAGGUGAUAAACAGAAUGUCCACGUUGUGAUGCAUCUUUUAACAAAAGCUUAACUGUUUCAUAUUUUACACUUGGUGAAUAACACAAAUCAUAAUCUUCGCCUGGAAUUUGUUGAAAACCCCUAGCAACUAAUCUUGCCUUGUACCUUACAACUUCAUUUUUGUCAUUCAUUUUAACUCUAUAAACCCAUUUUGAAUCAAUAAGUCUCAUAUCUGGGGUUUGUGGUACAAGAGACCAAGUGUUAUGCUCUUUUAAAGAAGCUAUUUCAGAGUUCAUAGCUUUAUACCAAUUUACAGCUUGGUGCUUAGGUAAAUUCUGAACAUCAUUGUAGCUUUUGGCUCAAAAACUGCCUUAUUGGCAUACACAGUAUUAAAAUGUUCAUCUGCAAAACGUUGUGGCUUCUGUCUCUUUCUAUCUGAACGUCUCAGUCCGGAAGGAGAGUCAGACUCCUCAGACUUAAUGGGACUAUGUAAACUACUAGUUUCAGGUUGUAAAUCAUCAUUGUCAGACUGAAGAGAUGCCUGUUGGCUAAGCUCACGGUCAGAAAACUCAAGAGAAUCUAACCUCCCUCGGGUGCCUGUGACUUUAAAUCAUCAAAGAAAUUAUCAGAUUCAACAGGCUUUUUGUCUUCUUCCAUUAAUUCAGAAGCACCAUUUCCUGCUGCUGCUGCUUCUUCUACCUCUUCUUCCUCAGUAUUAUCUAUACCAUUACUAUCUUGGAAAACAGCAACACCAUUCCAAUUUACAGUUUGUAUCAUGCUUCUGGUAAUAUGAAAUUUGCCAGUUGCUGGUAUGUAAAUUCUGUACGCCCCCUGCUGGUAGCCCAUUAAUUUUCCCUGGACACUACGUUCACCCAAUUUCUGCUUAGCGGGAUAAUGCAUUAUUACAUCUGAACCCCAAAUGCGUAGGUAUUUCAGAUUAGGGCGUUUUUAAACAGCUUCUCAUAGGGGUGACAUCUAAACCAGAAUGAUAACUGCGAUUUCUAACAUAACAAAAGGCAUUGAGCGCUUCAGCCCAAAAGUCUUUGGGCAGAUUAGCAUCAUGCAGAUAAGUUUUAACCCCUGCCUGCAGGUCACGCUGCACAACUUCAACAAGCCCAUUUUGCCAGGGACUUCGGGGCAAGAUAACUCAUGAGUAGUCCCCUGCGCUUCCAGGAAUUUCUCAAAAUCCUCAGAAACAAAUUCCCGCCCCUGUCAGAAAAAAGGUUCUUAAUAGGUUUGUUAAAAUGUGUUUUUACCCAGUUGCAAAAAACUUUGUACUUCUCAAAUGCUUGGGACUUCUCAGCUAUUGCAUAAGUCCAACAAUAUCUACUAUACUGGUCUAUCAGGGUAAGCCAGUACUUAGAACCUCCUAAGGAUGGUGGGAGUGGCCCAACUAAAUCACAAUGUACACGCUCAAAUGGCUCAGUUACUUUCCUAUCUGAGCACCUACCCUUGCGUGCAACCUUAAUCUUAUUCUUGCAACAGGAUAGACAUUGCAUAAAGAAUUUACAUGGUUUUAAGUUGAGGCCAUUAACAAUAUUCUUGGUCUUAAUUACAUCAGCAAAAUUCAGAUGUCCCAGAAUUCUGUGCGCCUCAUGGACACACCCAGAAUGUGGCCUUACAUUCCUCAACCCCUGGCUUGACUGUGCUGCUCUGCAAUUUAUAGGCGAUUGGGAGUAGGUGCGAAAAUACAGUCUAUAUAAACCAUCAGAUUCCCGGGCAUACAAUAGACGUUUGUUCCCCUCGAAAAACUCACACAUUGACUUUAAGAAACGCACAGUUAUGCCUUGACGAGCAAAACACCUUACUGACAAUAAAUUGUCCACUGAUGGGCAGUAAAUGCAGUUCGCUAUAGUAAUGUUUAAAGAGUCAAGUUUAACAGUACCCCUGCCAAGCGACUGCAAGACUUGUGAAUUGGCUAAAUGUACAUUACCAAUUUCCUCUUCGAAAGAAAUAAACAAGCUUCGAUCGUUGCAAACGUGCUGAGAUGCUCCUGAGUCCACAAUAAAAGAAUUCCACUUGGCACCUUUAAUUCUUUUACGAUCUCUUGUGCUAGCGUGAAAAGCUCGCGGCUCGUUUCUGUCUUUACGGUACGAUGCCGGCUGCUGAGCUGACGACCGUGACUGACGAACAGAAACAGACUUGGGAGUACUUUGCUUUCUUUUGGAUCUGCAGUCCUUUGCAAAAUGUCCUUGCUUAUUGCAGAACCAACAACGCUUUGCAGCUUUAAAUGCAGUUGUAUCACCACAAGUUUGCAUAUGGCGUUCCUCAUUCUUUCUGGAAAUAGGAGUGCUUAUGGCACAAGCCUCCCUUCUGUCCAACUCGCCCAUUAAUCUUGCCGUUACCCCUUCCACAGUUAAUUGUGCUGGUGGAGCGGCAGAUAUCUGGCUAGCUAUACCAUCAAAGUCCUCAUUAAGGGAACAAAGGAUGAUGAAAACAUACUGAAUAUCAGGUAUCUCCAUGUCCCUUCGAAUUAAUUCACCGCGUAUUGCCUCCAGACGUCUCAAGUGUGCUGCCAAAUCACCACCAGGCUGCAACUUCGUCUGGUACAACUGCUUGAAAACGUCAAUGCAGACGCUGACUCUUUUCUAACAUGCACUGCUGCAAGACUGUCCCACAUUUCUUUGGCAGUUUUCUUAUUUCUUAUAUAGACUACUUGCUGGUCGCUGACUGCCAAAUUAAUUAUCGCCCUGGCUUUCGCAUCUCCUUUCGACCAAGCAUUAGUCACAGGGUCAGGAGGGUCAUCAGUUACAUAGGUCCAUACUUCUCUAGAGGUCAAAAGCGCCUCCACCCGAAAAGACCAUAAACUAUAGUUCUCAUCUGUCAGCUGUGGGAAGACCAGAGCCUUCUCAGCUUCAGGAACCCGGUCAACCAUUCUGGAACUCUUCCAGACCCACAGAACUACGCUAACAGGAGAAGGAGUUUUCAAACCUUUCUCAGAGUCCAAAAAUAUGCAGUCAUCCACUCAGCAGCUGGGCCCAUAACCAAAGAUGUUGACUUUUUGCAGUAUGGUAGCGCUGCAGAGAGCUUGCUGGGGAGACCAUGCAUUAAAAGGGACUCAAAAAUAACUUAAACAAGGUUUUAAUAAGAAAAACAAAAACUCCUUUUACACUAAAUACAUUAACAAACAAACAUGACCCAACCACCAACCCAUCCCCCAGGGUAAUGGGAGAGCUAGGUGCUGCUCCUUAUAUACUACACCCAAUUGCCAACACAGCUUAAUCAAUACAACUCAGCAGCACCUGCUAUGUUUCACAGCUGUAACGCUGGGUCUCGUUAUCUUGCUCUGGCCCUUGCUUUGGCCCCUUAAAGACAUACACAUCGGGUGGAACAAUGAUGAACCUUUACAUAUUAAACCAUUCAACACAAGGUUGCCACAAGAAGAGCAGAGCCUGGUGUUGGGGGGGGGGGGACAUCAGCAGCACCAAACCACAGGCUCUGUGAAGUCCAGCACCAGCCCUGGGUGUCUGAAUGUGUUUUCUAAUUUUGACAAAAAAUGACUGGAACAAUCAGCAAUCAGGAAGGCCAAAAUUUCAAUAAGGAAUGGGAAAAUUUAUAAUUUAUAAUUUAUCUUAAAAACCAUUGCAAACAGUUAAAACUGUUAGCAGGACUGGAAUAACACUUGUAGUUUAAUGGUGGACGUAAUGGAGAUGUAAAAGAUUUGGAUUAUUAUAAAAGAUGCAAGAGGAAAUGGUUAACAAUAGGACCCACAAAGGGAAGGAGGGAAGUCCAGAAGAUUCCUUGGAAUCUUGUUUUUUAUGUUUUAUAUUGGAUAUGUGAUUGUAAAACUUUGAUUUGAAAACCAAGCAAACAAAUUUAAAAUGAAAGUGUUUUCUAAUUUGUGCAAGGAUUGUAGCCACAAUACGUUCCUGCUUAAUGGUGAAACUAGAUGUGACGGAGGGGAUAUCCAUAUUGUGGAUAUAUUUCUCCAGGCACUGCAGCCUUCAUCCGAAGCCUCCCCUUUCACAGCUGCUUUUAACAAAAGAAAACAGCAGCUCAACAAGCCACAAAAAUGUGAGACUGUAAAUUUUGAGAGACAGCACAUCACAGUCUCCUGUCCUUAUCUCUCCAAUACUUCCUCUCCUUGAGUCCAAAAGGUCAGGUCUGGCCCUCAUACCUCUGUUUGAUAUGACUGAUGUGUCUGAGCGCAACUUUCUUCUUUUGUUUCUUGUUGUGCAGAAACGUCAUAGAAUCAUAGAGUUGGAAGAGACCACAAGGGCCAUCGAGUCCAACCCCCUGCCAAGCAGGAAACACCAUCAGAGCACUCCUGACAUAUGGUUGUCAAGCCUCUGCUUAAAGACCUCCAAAGAAGGAGACUCCACCACACUCCUUGGCAGCAAAUUCCACUGUCGAACAGCUCUUACUGUCAGGAAGUUCUUCCUAAUGUUUAGGUGGAAUCUUCUUUCUUGUAGUUUGGAUCCAUUGCUCCGUGUCUGCUUCUCUGGAGCAGCAGAAAACAACCUUUCUCCCUCCUCUAUGUGACAUCCUUUUAUAUAUUUGAACAUGGCUAUCAUAUCACCCCUUAACCUCCUCUUCUCCAGGCUAAACGUCGUCAUUCUCUUCCCAUGAUUUACCCUGAUCUCAGCCUCCCUGUUUAAAAAAAGGAUAGGACACUGAAGAAUGUGAAAUGUAAGCAGGGUUUAUACUGGAAGAUAGCCAGGUGAGCUGUGCAUCUUCUCCUUCCCAGAGAAAGAUGGUUGGGCCACCUCAAGCUGUUCUCAUUCCUGUCUUCCUUCCAACAAAAGCAAGAGCAGCAAUGGCACAGCCAGAGAUUCUGCACACUUUUGGGAUUUAGUUAAUCCCAAAAGCCAAUAUUGAUGCUAAAUCCUUUGCUUUUAAGAAUACUCUUUUACCUUUAACAUUUGGUUGACAGUGAGAUUUGAUGGCUGCAGUCUGCCCCCACCACCGUCACGUGGUAAAGCAGGACUGGAAGAUGUUGCAACCUGAAUAUUUCUCCAGGAGACUGUAAAAGGAACAGGUGCUCUCCUUUAAGUCAAUCUUCACAUUAAUGGGGUGUGGGUUUUUUUGGUCAGGGUUUCAUUACUCUGACCCCUUUAAAUUUCUCAUUAUUUUUCAAUAAUAUUUUAUUGCUCAGACGGAUUACGAGUUUCAUGUAUUACGGUCUGCCAAUUACCUGUUCACCUGGGAGGAAUAGCAACUGCCUCUGAGUGAGCCCUAAGGAGGAAAACAGCACCUGUUCAAGUGAGGGACUUGGUGAGUGCAGAACUCGCAUCACAAAGCAACAUCUGAAAUCGGGGCAAAAGUGGUUCUAUGUUGCAGGGAUCUCUGUCAAUUCUCCGUGGAACCUUCAAUGUGGGGUUCCGCAGGGCUCAGUCCUAUCCCCCAUGUUGUUUGACGUCUACAUGAAACUGCUGGUGGGGUUAUUGGGAGGUUUGGAGUACGUUGUCAGCACCAUGCUGGUGACACUCAGCUCGAUUUCUCCUUUACAUCUGCAGGUGAGGCAGUGGAAGUGCUGGACCAGUGCUCGGACUGGAUGAGAGCCACCAAACUGAAGCUCAAUCCUGAUAAGACAGAGACACUGUGUGUGUGUGUGUGUGUGUGUGUGUGUGUGUACAUACAGUGGUACCUCGGGUUAAGUACUUAAUUCGUUCCGGAGGUCCGUACUUAACCUGAAACUGUUCUUAACCUGAAGCACCACUUUAGUUAAUGGGGCCUUCCUGCUGCUGCCGCGCUGCUGGAGCACGAUUUCUGUUCUCAGCACUAUUUCUGGGUUAGCGGAGUCUGUAACCUGAAGCGUAUGUAACCUGAAGCGUAUGUAACCCGAGGUACCACUGUAUAUAUAUUUGGGGUUUUUUUAACAUAUCAUUUCCAACAAUCAUUUAACAUUAAUUCUUAUCUUAUACAAUGUUUUGGACUUCCGUCAACAACCUCUGAUGAUUUUCCAUUCUUUAUCACUUAUUCUGCAUUUCUUAAUUUCUCUAUUACUCUUAAUUAUCAUUAACUAAUAAUUCUCUUCAUAGUCUUAGCACAGUCACAUCCCAAGCUAGCUGCACAUCCAAUUUGAAUUUAAAGCUAUGUAGUGCCAAGGGGAAUCAACCAUUGCAUAUGCCACAUAAAUACCUGCAAUACUAGCAUUAUUAUGCGUGCGUUUAAAAAUAAACCAUCGAAAGCAUCGGCC
This is a non-coding RNA of Podarcis lilfordi (Lilford's wall lizard), 9227 nucleotides long. The record is from the annotation of a GenBank genome assembly. NCBI's taxonomy places the organism in Eukaryota, Metazoa, Chordata, Lepidosauria, Squamata, Lacertidae.